AUUGAACGCUGGCGGCAUGCUUUACACAUGCAAGUCGAACGGCAGCGCGGGCUUCGGCCUGGCGGCGAGUGGCGAACGGGUGAGUAAUGCAUCGGAACGUGCCCAGUAGUGGGGGAUAGCCCGGCGAAAGCCGGAUUAAUACCGCAUACGACCUGAGGGUGAAAGCGGGGGACCGAAAGACCUCGCGCUAUUGGAGCGGCCGAUGUCGGAUUAGCUAGUUGGUGGGGUAAAGGCUUACCAAGGCGACGAUCCGUAGCUGGUCUGAGAGGACGACCAGCCACACUGGGACUGAGACACGGCCCAGACUCCUACGGGAGGCAGCAGUGGGGAAUUUUGGACAAUGGGGGCAACCCUGAUCCAGCCAUGCCGCGUGCGAGAAGAAGGCCUUCGGGUUGUAAACCGCUUUUGUUCGGGAAGAAAUCCUCUGGGCUAAUACCCCGGGGGGAUGACGGUACCGGAAGAAUAAGCACCGGCUAACUACGUG
Molecule: ribosomal RNA, 484 nt
Filed under: uncultured bacterium
Lineage: Bacteria
Description: partial 16S ribosomal RNA
Rfam family: Bacterial small subunit ribosomal RNA
Source: RNAcentral